AGGGAAAGCGGGGUUUCGGGUGGAAAAAGCUAAAAUAGAGCCAAAUACCGCCUCUCACCACCAAAACUAAACAGGGAGCUGCACUACUGCUGCUGCUGCUGGUGCUGCUCUAUUUCAUAUUUACCGGUUUAGUUAGGUUAGAUUAGGUAUAAUUAAGUUUAGUUAGAAUGGUAGCAGCAAGAGCAAGAACACAGCGGCCAUCACAACAACAUGAACAGCAACAGUAGUGCAGCUUUCUAUUUAUUUUUAGUGGUAAGAGGCGAUAAUUGGCUCUAUAUUACCUUUCCACACCCGAAAACCCCGCCUUCCCACCAGCUUCCCUUCACUGUAGGGGACACGAACCGAAAACCCCGCCUUCCCACCAGCUUCCCUUCACUGUAGGGGACACGAACCGAAAAAAAAAAAAAAAAAAUAGGAGAGAGGGCUGCACGAUUCUUCUUAAUAUUUCCCCGUAAUGGUAUAUACACACAUGCAUGUGAGAAUAUGAUAAGAAUUGUCUGCUGUAUGGAUCAUGUACACCUUCAGAAACUGACAACGGAGUUUUAAUACAGACCAGAACAAAAAUUAUAUGUUUUGAUAUGAGAGAGUGAUAUGAUCAGUGCGUAUGAAGUUAACACAAAAUAUGAUGUAAUCUUGAAUAUGUACGGGUGCCUUUAAUUUAUUAGGAAAAAAAUAUAUAUAUACCAUUCAGGAGAAAAUUCGUUUGUUUUAUAAUUGGGUAUUGUGUCAUGAAUCACGAUGUCUUGAGUACCUGACGGGAGUCGUGGUUGUUCGUAUUCGCCCGGGUUUCGGGACGGUCCUGUGUAUUGCCAUGUUUUUCUUGUUUUAUGCAUUUUUGUAUGUAUAUUUGUAGAUCAUAUUAUGAAUAUUUAUUUUUGUGUGCCUUUUGCAUAUUACUUAGGUGAGGCUUAGUAUAUAAUUAUAGGGAAGUGAGGUGUUAUCAAGUGCGUUCUGGGUGGCCAGUGGUGACGUGACCAGGGCUGUGUCAACACCAGGGUGGUGUUGGUUGUGUGGGGUGCACCUGGGCCCUGUGUUGGCCUUUGAAGGUGUUGCUUGAGUCUCGCCUUCGCACUCCGAGGACACUUUGAAUUCAUGGUGCUUUAGGUGCUCGUGGUCUUCGUCAGCCUUCGUGACCGUCCAUGCUCGUAACGUCUUCUUGUGCUCCUUGUUCGGCGCCUUGAAACAGAGGAAGAGAGAAUAAGAGGCUAAUUUUGUCCUCUUUAGGCUACAUUAUACAAGUGACUGCAGUACAAACACAUCUAAAUAAUAUAUAGACAAAACCAUCCAGCAUUCAGUAGCCCCAUCGCGCUGGUCAGUAGAGGACCCGUGGCCACCAGACGCAGCGGAACCUUUCUGGGUCGUAACGUGAUGACCCGGGGGACGUAGAUAGCCAGACGACGCGAGGAGGAAAGUGCGGGAGACUGGAACGAAGCGACUGCAGUGUUUUGAAGGAUGAUGCCGCCGAAGUCCCGAGUGGCUUCGAGACAAGGAAGAGAAGCCACGCGACUCACUUGAGCCAGUCAGUCAGUGGUCAGUGGCGUCAGCUUCGUUGUGGUGUACGUGUGAGUCUUCUGUGUUUUCUUGGACGCUUAUUUGGGCUCUAGGUGAACCAAAACUCUCCCAAAGCUUGUCCACAGUGGUCAGCAGCUGUGACACAAGGAGCAGCUGUCUCAGCGGAGAGACGGUGGACGGCGGAUGAAUACUUCGGCUCCCGCGCCUUCUUCCGCAUCAUGUCCGACUUGCCGAUCCUGGUGGUGGGCGGCGUGCGUCAGAGGAGUUGAAAAAUGUAUGGGACACGCUGCUGUGCUCUGCGUGUAGCUGUGAGGUGAGAGAAGACACAGUAUGUUGAGGGAAGGCAGCUGCACUAGUGACAGCAGCAGCAGAGCCCCACCACUGCUGCUGCUCCUCUCCUCUUCCCAGCACAGCAGCACACAGGACACAUUUCCAUCAUCUUUAAAUCCCGGACACUUGUGCCUUGGUGAUAAUCUCACAGCAGCAAACCCUACAUUGCUCAGGUCAACUUCCAGCUAGAAUCAUAAUAUCUGGAGUUAUUUUUCCACAAAGAAGGAUUCAAAAUAUCCCCCCCAAAAAAUAAGAUAUUUUUAGAAAUGAAAAUCCACUCGAAUUUUCUGCCUGAAGCUCUCGUUAAAAUGACUCCCUCUUGAAUCUUGUGUCCGACUCCAACUGUGUCCAAGAGAAUGGAUCUCCAGUUUGUAGUGAGACUUCCGAGCCGCCCAGACCUGUGAAGGCGAGCAGUCUGUCAGAUAAUGAGAGUAGACAACAUAAGCAACAUAAUGAGAGACAAAGUCACAAUAAUAGAGAUAAAAUGAAGGCACUCAAGUAUUAAUGAGAAAACAAAACAGAAUAAUAAGCAAAGUAAAAUAAUGAGACAAUAAGGCCAGUCAACAAAUAAUAGUGAAUUUACUGUAGGAAGGGUCUGCUGUACUACUUAAUGACCAUUCAAGUCUACUUGUUAAAGAUGUGUUUACACUUUGAAGUGUCAUUUUCUUGUACUAUGAUACAUUUUUUUACUAUUUUCUUCCACCUGCCUUAAUUAACAUUGAGUAGAGUCUCACUAAUACAACUUGAAUAUUACUCAGCCGGCAGUCUUUGCCAUGGUGGAGUGUGACACUGAAUCAGUACUGACAUUUUAUCAUUUACAUUUCAUUACUUUGAUUACUCAACAAAAUACUGCAUUGUUUUUUGUAACCUGCUGACUGGUGAAGGGACAACGUGUGCUCCUCAACACUUGGUUCUUGCCACGUGCCGCAGCAGACUGACAGCUUCCAGUGGGCCUGUCUGAGGUAAUGCACCACACAACAUUAGGAAUAGGAACAAUUAUUUCACUAAAACUUUAAUUACCUGCACUAAAAACUUUCAAUGAGUUUAUGUACUUUGUGAAUUUAGGAAUCUGGAACAAUGAUUGCACUUAUUUAACUACCUGCACUAAAGUGUUUGCUUUAGUUAUGGUGUUGACAGUAAGUAUAAAUACUUUAAGGGGCGUGACCUCCGCCGCAUUGCUUCAGCAGCCUUCAAGUCCCGGCAAUGAAACGGUUCGUGUGAGGAAGACUGCUUCUGGUGCUACUGGUGGAAAUUGUUACUAGUGUGUAAGUAUGUGGUAAAUAUCUGUGGAAACCAAAGGAUGUUUUCACUCGUACCAAACGUUAUGGUCAUGGAGAUACCUCUCUUCCUGCACACAAAACAACUACAACCACCUAAUUAUUACACACACACUCCUAUACCAGCCUCGGAGUCCCCAUCUGGUAACGACCCUAAAUGUCUUGACACCCCUCUCAGUUUUUCUUCUUAAACUUCUACAGAUUGAACGCGAAUGUUGCAGAACACUGCCUCUCCUCUAUUAAGCUUCAUCAUCCUUUCCUCAAUGAAACCCUGGUGUCUGAGGCAACUGACAGUAGCCCCUUUUCAGUUUCCUCUUACUUUCUCUAUCCAAAGCUGGAUGUUGUGUUUAUGUGCGCAAUGAAAUUAACCUGCUUUCGUGCCCACGCUCUUGAAUCUUUUGGGUUUUCCACCACCUGGCUACGACAACAGAGUCCCUUUCAUACUAAAUUUAUCUGUGUUGUAUACCUUUCACCUAACUCCUCUGACUGUAAGAAAUUCUUUGACUAUUUAACUUCCAAAGUGGAGCACAUUCUAACUCUCUUCCCUUUUGCAGGGAUCUCCAUUCUUGGAGACUUCAAUGUUCACCACCAGCUUUGGCUUUCCUCUCCCUUCACUGACCAUCCUGGUGAACUAACCUUUAAAUUUGCUAUCCUCCAUGACCUAGAGCAAUUGGUGCAACACUCUAAUCGUAUUCCUGACCGUCUUAGAGAUAUGCCCAACAUUCUUGACCUUUUCCUGACCUCUAAUCCUUCUGCUUAUUCUGUUACCCUCUCUUCUCUGUUGGGAUCUCCGAUCACAUCUAGUAUCUGUAUCUUGUCCUAUCACUCCAAUCCCUCCUCAGGAUCCCCUAAGCGAAGGUGCCUCUGGCGUGUUGGCUAUGCUAGUUGGGGGAACCUGAGGAGGUAUUUUGCUGAUUUUCCUUGGAAUGACUACUGCGUCCGUGACGGAGACCGCCCUGUGUGCCGAGUGCAUAAGAGGUGAUAGUGUCUGGCAUGGAGGCGUACAUUCCUCACUCUUUUUCUCGACCUAAACCUCCAAAACUUGGUUUAACAUAGCUUGUUCUCGUGCUAUACAUGAGAGAGAUGUGUCCCACCAAAGGUGCUUAAGCCUUCCAUCACCAGAAUCUCAUGCACUUUACAUUUCUGCCCGGAACCAUGCCAAGUCUGUUCUCCAACUAGCCAAAAACUCCUUCAUUAAUAGUGUCAAAACCUUUCAAGAUCUAAGUCCCCCCGUGACUUCUGCCACUUAACCCAAAAACAUCUAUAAUAACUUUGAUUCUUCUUUCCCUCCUUUAUUUCAACCAGAUGGCACCACUGCUAUCACAUCUAUCUCUAAAGCUGAACUCUUUGCUCAAUCCUUUGCUACAAACUCUACCUUGGACGAUUCAAGGUUUGUUCCUCUCUCUCCUCCACUAGCGCAGACAAGACUGUCAGUAUACAAUGGACAUGACACACUGAGGCAGCUGGUACUGCUUUGGCUCUAAAUGUUAUAAUAAUACUCUGCCACUUUGUUGACGAGUGACAAUACAACCUCUCGUUCCUCAGACUGUUCUUUUCACGUAACAGCUUCAAACCAAAUCCUGAAAUACUGAACCAACAUGAACCACCUCUGCUAUCAAGUAGUCAGCACUGUGAAGGGCUGUACAGUUCCUUACCUCACUAAAUAAUAAUACUUUCUGAUCCAAUCUGUCUCUGUCUGUCUGUCUGCUGCCAUGGCUUGACCUGCUCUUCUUUCAUCUGUAGCUUCCAUUCUGUCUGCCGUCUCCCUGCAUCCUCUUGUCCACCACACCAUCCUCCCUUGUGUGUUUGCUGCCACUGUCUAUCUAGAAAAAAAUGUUUUCUGCCAAACCUUGAACUAGUACAACAUGAACCACCUGUGGUCUAAUCUUUCUCCAGCAUUUCUUCUGUCCACUGUCACUGUCUGAACCAGUCACCUAACACACCAUCCUUCCUGCCACGGUCAUCCCUCUCUGAUGCUCUUCUCUUUCUCCCUCUCUCAGCGUGGUGGCAGCACGGGCCUCGGCACUCCCUGGCACCACGGCAGGUGUCAGUGAGGCAGGCAGGUGUUGGUUCAAGUCCUGGCAGUGUCACUUCGCUGCUGUAUUGUUUGGUGCAGCGGAUGAUGCUACGUUUUUCAUCACUUAGUGUAGAGUCUAUUUUUGCUUGACGUUUAUUUGUGUUGGUAAGGCAUUUCCACUAUAUAGUGGUAGAUAUUCUGGGAAAUAAGGAAUUAGCAAUACUAAGACAUGCUUGAACAACACUCACCAGUGUGGAAGACUUGUCAGGCAGUGGCUGUAGUGGCUUCACUUGAACCACGACCAUGUUCUCCUCAACCCUUGGAAAGAGAACAAUUCAUCUGAAAUGGAGAUACAAAGAUAUUGGGGAAAAUUUAAGAGAGAGACGCUGCAAAGUGUAGCUGACAGUGUGCGUGUCGUUAUCAAGAGGAGGGGCUCUAAAAUGAAACAGUAGGACACUCGUGAAGACAUUCAUACUAUCUUUUCUCAAGGGAAGAGUGUGUCGUGUGUGUUAACAACGUCAGGCGCGGACAUUUUUUGCAUCAAGGGUGAUGUACGAUCCGGACAUGAAAAAAGUUUUUUCUUUUAUAAUUUUCUAAUUUUUUUCCGCUUCUUUUGAUAUAUGUAACGUUUUGAUAAGAACUAAAAAAAUCCCCUUAUGUAAAGAGGUCUUCUGUUAUGAAAUUCCCACGGUUUCGCCCGCUGCGAGACAUGUCACACGUUUUUUUUACAUUUUUUUUUCUCUUUUCAUAUAUUUUUCUGACAUACCCGUUCUUCUUCACUCUCCCAUGAAUAUCUACGGUUCUCUUGCUGCAUACAAUAUUAGAAAGCACGAAAUUCUAGGUCUAACUAUUUUCUCAAAUUGAUAUACGAAAAAAAAAUCAUAUAAUAAUUUUUUUUUUCGUAAAUCUAGCAAAUAGUUAAUGUAUCUGCAUUAGAUAUCUUUUGCAUUAAUAUUUUAUUUACUUUCAAACAAUUAAACACUGGUUUUUACUUAGAAAUAUGGCGAAAUAUAACAAAAAUUGUUUUCACCCCGCCUUCUCCCCUCCCACCCGGUAAUUAAGGGUGAAAUCAUGAAUAGCUUUAGGCCUUAUACACAAAACCAAUCGGAGUAACUAAAACUAUGUCUGCUUUUUCAACAUAUUCUGAUGUAUAUAUCGCGUGAAUUUCAAGUCCCUGGCUGCAAUAGGUGAAUUAGUCACCCCUUAAACUUUAUGACAUAAUAUCUCAAAAUGGCGGAUUUUAGCAUAUAAAAAUUAUCUGCUCCGUUUUUAUUGGUGUUACAGACAGAUGGGCUAUUGCGGCUUAUCAAACUGUGAUAGGCGAAUAAAGUCUGCUGUGGUCUUUUUUUUUGGAGUUAAUUUUGAUUUUUGACAAAUAUUUCAAAGUUUUUUUUUUUUUUUACUUUUCAUCGAAAAAAAAUCGUACAAUAAAAGAAAAAAGAUAGCAGACUUUGUUCUCCUAUCCUUCCUGAUCAAAAUACUUUUUAAAUAAAUGAGGGAGGAGAUACGAGUUGAACACAGGCAAUUUAACAAGGGAUUAGCGAUCCUUCAACCACCCUCAAGUGUAUGAAUAAAGGUGAUUAGUUACUUUGAUGUGGAAAGACUGUAAUUUGUAAAGAUGAGAAUAAAUGAGAAUAAAUUAUU
Long non-coding RNA from Scylla paramamosain (green mud crab), 6780 nucleotides. RefSeq lists it as uncharacterized. The transcript has 7 exons. The record is from RefSeq and is a predicted model, not a curated record. NCBI's taxonomy places the organism in Eukaryota, Metazoa, Arthropoda, Malacostraca, Decapoda, Portunidae.